RNAcentral lists this ribosomal RNA (603 nucleotides) under Staphylococcus hominis. RNAcentral's name for it is "partial 23S ribosomal RNA". It matches the Rfam family "Bacterial large subunit ribosomal RNA", at positions 132 to 732 of the family's 2925-position model. Lineage: Bacteria; Bacillati; Bacillota; Bacilli; Caryophanales; Staphylococcaceae. The record is from RNAcentral.
CACAAGUUAUGUUGUGUUAUCGACAAGUGAAUUCAUAGCUUGUCAGAAGGCAGACCCGGAGAACUGAAACAUCUUAGUACCCGGAGGAAGAGAAAGAAAAUUCGAUUCCCUGAGUAGCGGCGAGCGAAACGGGAAGAGCCCAAACCAAUAAGCUUGCUUAUUGGGGUUGUAGGACACUCUAUACGGAGUUACAAAGGAAUAUAUUAAACGAAUCAUCUGGAAAGUUGAAUCAAAGAAGGUAAUAAUCCUGUAGUUGAAAAUAUAUUCUCUCUUGAGUGGAUCCUGAGUACGACGGAGCACGUGAAAUUCCGUCGGAAUCUGGGAGGACCAUCUCCUAAGGCUAAAUACUCUCUAGUGACCGAUAGUGAACCAGUACCGUGAGGGAAAGGUGAAAAGUACCCCGGAAGGGGAGUGAAAGAGAACUUGAAACCGUGUGCUUACAAGUAGUCAGAGCCCGUUAAUGGGUGAUGGCGUGCCUUUUGUAGAAUGAACCGGCGAGUUACGAUCUGAUGCAAGGUUAAGCAGAAAAUGUGGAGCCGUAGCGAAAGCGAGUCUGAAUAGGGCGUAUAGUAUUUGGUCGUAGACCCGAAACCAGGUGAUCUA